RNAcentral lists this ribosomal RNA (457 nucleotides) under uncultured bacterium. Its description in RNAcentral is "bacterial SSU rRNA". It matches the Rfam family "Bacterial small subunit ribosomal RNA", at positions 340 to 789 of the family's 1533-position model. The record is from RNAcentral.
UACGGAAGGCAGCAGUGGGGAAUAUUGCACAAUGGGCGAAAGCCUGAUGCAGCUAUGCCGCGUGUAUGAAGAAGGCCUUAGGGUUGUAAAGUACUUUCAUCGGGGAGGAAAAACAAAACUAAUAAUUUUAUUUCUUGACGUUACCCGAAAAAGAAGCACCGGCUAACUCCGUGCCAGCAGCCGCGGUAAUACGGAGGGUGCUAGCGUUAAUCAGAAUUACUGGGCGUAAAGAGCACGUAGGUGGUUUUUUUAAAGUCAGAUGUGAAUCCCUGGGCUUAACCUGGAACUGCAUUUUGAAACUGAAAUACUAGAGUAUCGUAGAGGGAGGUAGAAUUCUAGGUGUAGCGGUGAAAUGCGUAGAUAUCUGGAGGAAUACCUGUGGCGAAAGCGGCCUCCUAAACGAAUACUGACACUGAGGUGCGAAAGCGUGGGGAGCAAACAGGGAUUAGAUACCCGU